GGCGUUAAGUUGCAGGGUAUAGACCCGAAACCCGGUGAUCUAGCCAUGGGCAGGUUGAAGGUUGGGUAACACUAACUGGAGGACCGAACCGACUAAUGUUGAAAAAUUAGCGGAUGACCUGUGGCUGGGGGUGAAAGGCCAAUCAAACCGGGAGAUAGCUGGUUCUCCCCGAAAGCUAUUUAGGUAGCGCCUCGUGAAUUCAUCUCCGGGGGUAGAGCACUGUUUCGGCUAGGGGGCCAUCCCGGCUUACCAACCCGAUGCAAACUGCGAAUACCGGAGAAUGUUAUCACGGGAGACACACGGCGGGUGCUAACGUCCGUCGUGAAGAGGGAAACAACCCAGACCGCCAGCUAAGGUCCCAAAGUCAUGGUUAAGUGGGAAACGAUGUGGGAAGGCCCAGACAGCCAGGAUGUUGGCUUAGAAGCAGCCAUCAUUUAAAGAAAGCGUAAUAGCUCACUGGUCGAGUCGGCCUGCGCGGAAGAUGUAACGGGGCUAAACCAUGCACCGAAGCUGCGGCAGCGAACGUAUCACCCAAGACAACUUUACGGAGUUGACGAUUGACGGAGCGAAGCGACGUCAAAGCGUUCAUUAAAGUCGAGUUGGCUUAGGGAUACGUUCGUUGGGUAGGGGAGCGUUCUGUAAGCCUGUGAAGGUGUGUCGUGAGGCAUGCUGGAGGUAUCAGAAGUGCGAAUGCUGACAUAAGUAACGAUAAAGCGGGUGAAAAGCCCGCUCGCCGGAAGACCAAGGGUUCCUGUCCAACGUUAAUCGGGGCAGGGUGAGUCGACCCCUAAGGCGAGGCCGAAAGGCGUAGUCGAUGGGAAACGGGUUAAUAUUCCCGUACUUGGUGUUACUGCGAAGGGGGGACGGAGAAGGCUAUGUUGGCCGGGCGACGGUUGUCCCGGUUUAAGCGUGUAGGUGUGUGUUCCAGGUAAAUCCGGUUCACUUUAACACUGAGGCGUGACGACGAGGCACUACGGUGCUGAAGCAACAAAUGCCCUGCUUCCAGGAAAAGCCUCUAAGCAUCAGGUAACACGAAAUCGUACCCCAAACCGACACAGGUGGUCAGGUAGAGAAU
This 1075-nucleotide ribosomal RNA is filed under the name Salmonella enterica. RNAcentral's name for it is "partial 23S ribosomal RNA". It matches the Rfam family "Bacterial large subunit ribosomal RNA", at positions 691 to 1679 of the family's 2925-position model. Lineage: Bacteria; Pseudomonadati; Pseudomonadota; Gammaproteobacteria; Enterobacterales; Enterobacteriaceae. The record is from RNAcentral.